RNAcentral lists this ribosomal RNA (469 nucleotides) under Collimonas sp. S5.CEL.014. RNAcentral describes it as "bacterial SSU rRNA". It matches the Rfam family "Bacterial small subunit ribosomal RNA", at positions 19 to 483 of the family's 1533-position model. Lineage: Bacteria; Pseudomonadati; Pseudomonadota; Betaproteobacteria; Burkholderiales; Oxalobacteraceae. The record is from RNAcentral.
CUGGCUCAGAUUGAACGCUGGCGGCAUGCCUUACACAUGCAAGUCGAACGGUAACAGGGAGCUUGCUCCGCUGACGAGUGGCGAACGGGUGAGUAAUAUAUCGGAACGUACCUUUGAGUGGGGGAUAACUAGUCGAAAGAUUAGCUAAUACCGCAUACGAUCUACGGAUGAAAGCGGGGGAUCGCAAGACCUCGUGCUCAUAGAGCGGCCGAUAUCUGAUUAGCUAGUUGGUGAGGUAAAGGCUCACCAAGGCUUCGAUCAGUAGCUGGUCUGAGAGGACGACCAGCCACACUGGGACUGAGACACGGCCCAGACUCCUACGGGAGGCAGCAGUGGGGAAUUUUGGACAAUGGGGGCAACCCUGAUCCAGCAAUGCCGCGUGAGUGAAGAAGGCCUUCGGGUUGUAAAGCUCUUUUGUCAGGGAAGAAACGGGGGAUCCUAAUACGGUCCCCUAAUGACGGUACCUGAG